This 786-nucleotide ribosomal RNA is filed under the name uncultured bacterium. Its description in RNAcentral is "bacterial SSU rRNA". It matches the Rfam family "Bacterial small subunit ribosomal RNA", at positions 8 to 796 of the family's 1533-position model. The record is from RNAcentral.
AGAGUUUGAUCAUGGCUCAGGAUGAACGCUAGCGGCAGGCUUAACACAUGCAAGUCGAGGGGUAUAGGUUUUCGGACCUAGAGACCGGCGCACGGGUGCGUAACGCGUAUGCAAUCUACCUUUUACAGAGGGAUAGCCCAGAGAAAUUUGGAUUAAUCCUCUUAGUAUUAUGAAUCGGCAUCGGUUUAUAAUUAAAGUCACAACGGUAAAAGAUGAGCAUGCGUCCCAUUAGCUUGUUGGUAAGGUAACGGCUUACCAAGGCAACGAUGGGUAGGGGUCCUGAGAGGGAGAUCCCCCACACUGGUACUGAGACACGGACCAGACUCCUACGGGAGGCAGCAGUGAGGAAUAUUGGUCAAUGGGCGCAAGCCUGAACCAGCCAUGCCGCGUGCAGGAUGAAGCAUCUAUGGUGUGUAAACUGCUUUUGUACGAGAAGAAACACUCCUACGUGUAGGAGCUUGACGGUAUCGUAAGAAUAAGGACCGGCUAACUCCGUGCCAGCAGCCGCGGUAAUACGGAGGGUCCAAGCGUUAUCCGGAAUCAUUGGGUUUAAAGGGUCCGUAGGCGGUUUUGUAAGUCAGUGGUGAAAGCCCAUCGCUCAACGGUGGAACGGCCAUUGAUACUGCAAGACUUGAAUUAUUGGGAAGUAACUAGAAUAUGUAGUGUAGCGGUGAAAUGCUUAGAGAUUACAUGGAAUACCAAUUGCGAAGGCAGGUUACUACCAAUAUAUUGACGCUGAUGGACGAAAGCGUGGGGAGCGAACAGGAUUAGAUACCCUAGUAGUCC